Molecule: ribosomal RNA, 253 nt
Filed under: uncultured bacterium
Lineage: Bacteria
Description: partial 16S ribosomal RNA
Rfam family: Bacterial small subunit ribosomal RNA
Source: RNAcentral
UACGUAGGGGGCUAGCGUUGUCCGGAAUCAUUGGGCGUAAAGCGCGUGUAGGCGGUCCGAUAAGUCCGCUGUGAAAGUCGGGGGCUCAACCCUCGGAUGCCGGUGGAUACUGUCGGGCUUGAGUACGGAAGAGGCGAGUGGAAUUCCUGGUGUAGCGGUGGAAUGCGCAGAUAUCAGGAGGAACACCAAUAGCGAAGGCAGCUCGCUGGGACGGUAUUGACGCUGAGGCGCGAAAGCGUGGGGAGCAAACAGG